UUAAGUUAUUAAGGGCGCACGGUGGAUGCCUUGGCACUAGAAGCCGAUGAAGGACGUUACUAACGACGAUAUGCUUUGGGGAGCUGUAAGUAAGCUUUGAUCCAGAGAUUUCCGAAUGGGGAAACCCAGCAUGAGUUAUGUCAUGUUAUCGAUAUGUGAAUACAUAGCAUAUCAGAAGGCACACCCGGAGAACUGAAACAUCUUAGUACCCGGAGGAAGAGAAAGAAAAUUCGAUUCCCUUAGUAGCGGCGAGCGAAACGGGAAGAGCCCAAACCAACAAGCUUGCUUGUUGGGGUUGUAGGACACUCUGUACGGAGUUACAAAGGACGACAUUAGACGAAUCAUCUGGAAAGAUGAAUCAAAGAAGGUAAUAAUCCUGUAGUCGAAAAUGUUGUCUCUCUUGAGUGGAUCCUGAGUACGACGGAGCACGUGAAAUUCCGUCGGAAUCUGGGAGGACCAUCUCCUAAGGCUAAAUACUCUCUAGUGACCGAUAGUGAACCAGUACCGUGAGGGAAAGGUGAAAAGCACCCCGGAAGGGGAGUGAAAUAGAACCUGAAACCGUGUGCUUACAAGUAAUCAGAGCCCGUUAAUGGGUGAUGGCGUGCCUUUUGUAGAAUGAACCGGCGAGUUACGAUUUGAUGCAAGGUUAAGCAGUAAAUGUGGAGCCGUAGCGAAAGCGAGUCUGAAUAGGGCGUUUAGUAUUUGGUCGUAGACCCGAAACCAGGUGAUCUACCCUUGGUCAGGUUGAAGUUCAGGUAACACUGAAUGGAGGACCGAACCGACUUACGUUGAAAAGUGAGCGGAUGAACUGAGGGUAGCGGAGAAAUUCCAAUCGAACCUGGAGAUAGCUGGUUCUCUCCGAAAUAGCUUUAGGGCUAGCCUCAAGUGAUGAUUAUUGGAGGUAGAGCACUGUUUGGACGAGGGGCCCCUCUCGGGUUACCGAAUUCAGACAAACUCCGAAUGCCAAUUAAUUUAACUUGGGAGUCAGAACAUGGGUGAUAAGGUCCGUGUUCGAAAGGGAAACAGCCCAGACCACCAGCUAAGGUCCCAAAAUAUAUGUUAAGUGGAAAAGGAUGUGGCGUUGCCCAGACAACUAGGAUGUUGGCUUAGAAGCAGCCAUCAUUUAAAGAGUGCGUAAUAGCUCACUAGUCGAGUGACACUGCGCCGAAAAUGUACCGGGGCUAAACAUAUUACCGAAGCUGUGGAUUGUCCUUUGGACAAUGGUAGGAGAGCGUUCUAAGGGCGUUGAAGCAUGAUCGUAAGGACAUGUGGAGCGCUUAGAAGUGAGAAUGCCGGUGUGAGUAGCGAAAGACGGGUGAGAAUCCCGUCCACCGAUUGACUAAGGUUUCCAGAGGAAGGCUCGUCCGCUCUGGGUUAGUCGGGUCCUAAGCUGAGGCCGACAGGCGUAGGCGAUGGAUAACAGGUUGAUAUUCCUGUACCACCUAUAAUCGUUUUAAUCGAUGGGGGGACGCAGUAGGAUAGGCGAAGCGUGCGAUUGGAUUGCACGUCUAAGCAGUAAGGCUGAGUAUUAGGCAAAUCCGGUACUCGUUAAGGCUGAGCUGUGAUGGGGAGAAGACAUUGNGUCUUCGAGUCGUUGAUUUCACACUGCCGAGAAAAGCCUCUAGAUAGAAAAUAGGUGCCCGUACCGCAAACCGACACAGGUAGUCAAGAUGAGAAUUCUAAGGUGAGCGAGCGAACUCUCGUUAAGGAACUCGGCAAAAUGACCCCGUAACUUCGGGAGAAGGGGUGCUCUUUAGGGUUAACGCCCAGAAGAGCCGCAGUGAAUAGGCCCAAGCGACUGUUUAUCAAAAACACAGGUCUCUGCUAAACCGUAAGGUGAUGUAUAGGGGCUGACGCCUGCCCGGUGCUGGAAGGUUAAGAGGAGUGGUUAGCUUCUGCGAAGCUACGAAUCGAAGCCCCAGUAAACGGCGGCCGUAACUAUAACGGUCCUAAGGUAGCGAAAUUCCUUGUCGGGUAAGUUCCGACCCGCACGAAAGGCGUAACGAUUUGGGCACUGUCUCAACGAGAGACUCGGUGAAAUCAUAGUACCUGUGAAGAUGCAGGUUACCCGCGACAGGACGGAAAGACCCCGUGGAGCUUUACUGUAGCCUGAUAUUGAAAUUCGGCACAGCUUGUACAGGAUAGGUAGGAGCCUUUGAAACGUGAGCGCUAGCUUACGUGGAGGCGCUGGUGGGAUACUACCCUAGCUGUGUUGGCUUUCUAACCCGCACCACUUAUCGUGGUGGGAGACAGUGUCANGCGGGCAGUUUGACUGGGGCGGUCGCCUCCUAAAAGGUAACGGAGGCGCUCAAAGGUUCCCUCAGAAUGGUUGGAAAUCAUUCAUAGAGUGUAAAGGCAUAAGGGAGCUUGACUGCGAGACCUACAAGUCGAGCAGGGUCGAAAGACGGACUUAGUGAUCCGGUGGUUCCGCAUGGAAGGGCCAUCGCUCAACGGAUAAAAGCUACCCCGGGGAUAACAGGCUUAUCUCCCCCAAGAGUUCACAUCGACGGGGAGGUUUGGCACCUCGAUGUCGGCUCAUCGCAUCCUGGGGCUGUAGUCGGUCCCAAGGGUUGGGCUGUUCGCCCAUUAAAGCGGUACGCGAGCUGGGUUCAGAACGUCGUGAGACAGUUCGGUCCCUAUCCGUCGUGGGCGUAGGAAAUUUGAGAGGAGCUGUCCUUAGUACGAGAGGACCGGGAUGGACAUACCUCUGGUGUACCAGUUGUCGUGCCAACGGCAUAGCUGGGUAGCUAUGUGUGGACGGGAUAAGUGCUGAAAGCAUCUAAGCAUGAAGCCCCCCUCAAGAUGAGAUUUCCCAACUUCGGUUAUAAGAUCCCUCAAAGAUGAUGAGGUUAAUAGGUUCGAGGUGGAAGCAUGGUGACAUGUGGAGCUGACGAAUACUAAUCGAUCGAAGACUUAAUCAA
RNAcentral lists this ribosomal RNA (2921 nucleotides) under Staphylococcus aureus. RNAcentral's name for it is "23S ribosomal RNA". It matches the Rfam family "Bacterial large subunit ribosomal RNA". Lineage: Bacteria; Bacillati; Bacillota; Bacilli; Caryophanales; Staphylococcaceae. The record is from RNAcentral.